GGAGCCAUCACGUGAAGAUCACAAGGCAAGAGCGAGAAAGAGAGGAGGAGGAUGCAAUGGAAAAGAUACAUAGGGGAUCAAAUACAUAUGAUGGUGGAAGUGAAAACCAUUCCUUUGUGCUUCCUUGUUUCCUGAAGGGGUGCCUCUGAAAUUCAGUGAUCUCAACAGGCCACGUGGAGAGAGAGGUCUGCUUGGACACAUAAGCCCAGACAUGCAUGCCACUUGCUCUCUUUUUUCCCAUUUAUUUCCAGCUUGGGGUGGCAGAUAUGUCCUCCCCAUAACUCAGGCUUACCAUCGAGGCUUAUAACUUCUUGCCAUUCCAGUUCCAUAAGCCAGUUUGAUAACGCUUACAGGGUAUCAUAUGUAGCCCAGCCAUUUCUGGAUAUAUAUUUUUUAUUUCUUGCUGCAUCACACACCUAUUUUCUGAUUCAGUGUAGCAGGACUUGCUACCAUUUAUCACAACGAGCACUGGAAUCUCUCUUCUGGAAGUGAGAAAACUGAAGUGAAGAGAGGCUGCAGAAUUGAUCUAAGGCUAGCAGGACUUACUGUUGAAGUCUAUCAUGGACCAAAGGUCUCAAACCAGUAAUCUUUUUUAUAAUUCCUGCUGUAGCUCAUGCAAUGCUAAUACUUUCUGUAAUGCUAAUUAUGUCAUUUGAAUUAAAUUUAAAGGUUCUUUAGAAACCUUUUUAAGACAGGUGAAUCCUGUUUUAAUAGGGUAAUGAUUACUUUGUAACCUUAUAG
Molecule: long non-coding RNA, 741 nt
Filed under: Homo sapiens (human)
Lineage: Eukaryota; Metazoa; Chordata; Mammalia; Primates; Hominidae
Description: HSALNT0080197
Source: RNAcentral